AUACUCAAAUGUUAUAGAAACUUUAAUUUUCAUUACUAUCAUAUGAAAACUUCUGAGAUUAAUUAAUCAAUAUUGCUUAUUAUUCUGUCAUUCCAUAACAAAAAUAUUAUUAUUAAAUUAUACAAUUAGUAACAAACAAAAUGAAAUCAUUACUGAAGUCAUUUCAUUUCAAACACUUCAUUUGUUAACAUAACAUUGGCAUUUACUUUACAAACUUCUGAACAACUACUUAAACAAUAUUUUACUACCUACCUCUGUUUACAAUCGACAUCUGAUAAGAAUUUAAUUCAGUGACAACAUCGAAACUAUAAGUUUCUUAGAUAACAAUACAAUAUAUGUGGUUACAGUUUGAAAACGACAGUAAUCUUGAGUAGUUUUAUCAGAGCGCCAAGCACGAAUAACUAUCGCAUUCGUAAUGUAAACGUAUCGAGAUGACGAUACGUCAUGAGACGUUAACGGAGUGUGGCAGCACGAAGCCUAUUCUUUCAACUAUCGAGAGCUCGCAUCAAAUUCGAUAGUGACGUCAUGCUAAUGUAAACUAGAGAAGCGGCCAAGUGAACGAUUUGAAUGACUUAUUGAGCAUAAAGAUUUCGUCUGAAAACUAAAUUAAAUUUAUAUAUAUAUUUCAACCUUUGUCUACACGUUUUAUGAAAUAAUAUUUAUUAAAUAAAUAUUAAUUAUGUGCAAAAAGUUCUUAAAGCGAGUUAAGAGAAAUAUAACGUGACAUUAUCUAUGAAAAAAAAAUAAGUACUUAGUUUCAUAAAUUUAUAAAUUUUUUUAUGAUUUCCGAACGUCGUAUUUGACAUUUGUCAUUUGCCGGUUGUUUGUUUGUUAUUUUAUCUUAUGUAAAUAAAUAACAAUUUUAACAUGUUACAUUUAAAAUGAGGACGAUUCAACUCCAAUAUGAGCUAAUGGUGGAAUUUAUGCAAAAAUUGGAAUAUUUGUGGGACCAGUCCAAUAUUACUGGGAGCAGUGGGUCUACUGUAUUCCUACCACACCACUCACUGUUCCUCACGAAGCCUACCCUUCGCCAGCGCCUCCACCAACACCACCGAUCCUCCAUCCGAGGAAGAUAGCUGGAAUCCUCCACCAGUGAAAAAACCUAAAGCGAGUUUGAUUAAAAUGUGUAUAGAGAAUGACAAGAAUACUAUGCUAGGGAGCGUGAGAAAAGUUAUUAUUUUUUAUUAGUUGAUUAUUUUUUGUUACGUACUGUUAAUUUUAUAUUUAUUUCAAUUUUUCUGUUUUUAUGUUAUUUUAAAAUAUUAUCAAAAUAUUGUUAAUGGCAUUGUAUUUAUAAUAAUUAUUCUAACUGUGUCAAUACUGUGAAUGUGGUGCAUGUCUAUAAUUGGCAUAACCACAUGAUCUUGUGUCUUCAUCUUGUUUUUCAAUAAUGUCUUAUAAUAAUAAAUAAAUAAAUUAUAUAUUAUUGGGAUUAAGAUUAGAAUAAAAUAGUUUUUAAGUUAUUUAUAUAUGUAUAUACAUUUUAUUAACUAUAAAAAGAGGAUUUUGUAGAAAAAAGUAAUAAAACACUUGAAAUAACUA
Long non-coding RNA from Spodoptera frugiperda (fall armyworm), 1542 nucleotides. RefSeq lists it as uncharacterized. The transcript has 2 exons. The record is from RefSeq and is a predicted model, not a curated record. Lineage: Eukaryota; Metazoa; Arthropoda; Insecta; Lepidoptera; Noctuidae.